Molecule: ribosomal RNA, 723 nt
Filed under: uncultured fungus
Lineage: Eukaryota; Fungi
Description: LSU rRNA
Rfam family: Eukaryotic large subunit ribosomal RNA
Source: RNAcentral
AAAACAUGAUUCCUCANUACGGCGAGCGAAGAGGGAUAAGCUCAAAUUUUAAAUCUGUUGGGUUUCAACCUAACAGAGUUGUAUUUUGAAGAAACGUUUUCUGCGUCCAGGAUUAGCCUAAAUCCUUUGGGAUAAGGUAUCAUGGAGGGUGAGAAUCCCGUUCAUGGUUAAUCUUAAGGAUGUUCUACGAUACGUUCUCCAAGAGUCGAGUUGUUUGGGAUUGCAGCUCAAAAUGGGAGGUAAAUUUCUCCUAAGGCUAAAUAUUGGCGAGAGACCGAUAGCGAACAAGUACCGUGAGGGAAAGAUGAAAAGAACUUUGAAAAGAGAGUUAAACAGUACGUGAAAUUGUUGAAAGGGAAACGAUUGAAGUCAGUCAUACCAACGGGAAAUCAACCUUUUGAGUUUGUUCUUGUGGGUUUCGAGGAGUUUAAAAGCCCUCGGAUUUGCUAGGAUUGGGUUCUUUUGGUGUACUUUCUCGUACGGUUAGUCAACAUCGGUUUUGAAUGUCAUAAAAUGACUGGAGGAAUGUGGCUUCGAUCUCGUAUCGAAGUGUUAUAACCUUUGGUAGAUGUGAUGUUCGAGACCGAGGAUUGCAACGGAUACCUUCCAGGCUAUUCGUCUGAUCUCUGAUACGUUGCCUUGAUGUCGAAAGCGUGCUUAUGAUGUUAGGGUAUUACGGUCAAAAGGUUAGAACGGAUUAAAUUCGUUAAGGAUGUUGACGUA